AUGGGAAAGGAACCUGAGGCCCUUGUUAUGAAGUUGACAGUCUUCAUCCAAGGGCAUUCCUUGCAAUUUCUUGUGGAUUCUGGCAGUACACAUUCUUUCCUUGAUAGCAAGUAUGUGAUAUUGUCAGGUGUUUCUUCCAUUACUCCAGUCAAUGUUACAUAUGCAGGUGGAACUGUUAGUUCUUGUCAGCAUAGUAUUAAUGCUUGCAGUUGGGCCAGUAAUGGGGUGCAGUUUACAUCAGAUUUCAAGCUGCUGUCUCUCAACACUUAUGAUGGUAUACUCAGAUUAGACUGGUUGGCCCAACAUAGUCCCAUGAAAAUCGACUGGGUUGAGCAGUGGAUGUCUUUCAAUCAUGCAGGAAAAUGGUUACCUUGCAAGGGAUCAAUUCAACUGAGUGUGCUUAUACAUGUGUAUCCAUCUCAACUAUUCAGGUUUCAGAUCCUUCUCCAAUUCCUAUAG
Molecule: ribosomal RNA, 459 nt
Filed under: Triticum aestivum (bread wheat)
Lineage: Eukaryota; Viridiplantae; Streptophyta; Magnoliopsida; Poales; Poaceae
Description: partial small subunit ribosomal RNA
Source: RNAcentral